RNAcentral lists this ribosomal RNA (983 nucleotides) under Lacticaseibacillus casei. RNAcentral describes it as "bacterial SSU rRNA". It matches the Rfam family "Bacterial small subunit ribosomal RNA", at positions 195 to 1172 of the family's 1533-position model. The record is from RNAcentral. Lineage: Bacteria; Bacillati; Bacillota; Bacilli; Lactobacillales; Lactobacillaceae.
AGAUGGCGUAAGCUAUCCGCUUUUGGAUGGACCCGCGGCGUAUUAGCUAGUUGGUGAGGUAACGGCUCACCAAGGCGAUGAUACGUAGCCGAACUGAGAGGUUGAUCGGCCACAUUGGGACUGAGACACGGCCCAAACUCCUACGGGAGGCAGCAGUAGGGAAUCUUCCACAAUGGACGCAAGUCUGAUGGAGCAACGCCGCGUGAGUGAAGAAGGCUUCGGGUCGUAAAACUCUGUUGUUGGAGAAGAAUGGUCGGCAGAGUAACUGUUGUCGGCGUGACGGUAUCCAACCAGAAAGCCACGGCUAACUACGUGCCAGCAGCCGCGGUAAUACGUAGGUGGCAAGCGUUAUCCGGAUUUAUUGGGCGUAAAGCGAGCGCAAGGCGGUUUUUAAGUCUGAUGUGAAAGCCCUCGGCUUAACCGAGGAAGCGCAUCGGAAACUGGGAAACUUGAGUGCAGAAGAGGACUGUGGAACUCCAUCUGUAGCGGUGAAAUGCGUAGAUAUAUGGAAGAACACCAGUGGCGAAGGCGGCUGUCUGGUCUGUAACUGACGCUGAGGCUCGAAAGGCAUGGGUAGCGAACAGGAUUAGAUACCCUGGUAGUCCAUGCCGUAAACGAUGAAUGCUAGGUGUUGGAGGGUUUCCGCCCUUCAGUGCCGCAGCUAACGCAUUAAGCAUUCCGCCUGGGGAGUACGACCGCAAGGUUGAAACUCAAAGGAAUUGACGGGCGGCCCGCACAAGCGGUGGAGCAUGUGGUUUAAUUCGAAGCAACGCGAAGAACCUUACCAGGUCUUGACAUCUUUUGAUCACCUGAGAGAUCAGGUUUCCCCUUCGGGGGCAAAAUAACAGGUGGUGCAUGGUUGUCGUCAGCUCGUGUCGUGAGAUGUUGGGUUAAGUCCCGCAACGAGCGCAAACCCUUAUGACUAGUUGCCAGCAUUGAGUUGGGCACUCUAGUAAGACUUGCCGGUGACAAACCGGAGGAAG